AGUGAACGCUGGCGGUAGGCCUAACACAUGCAAGUCGAACGGCAGCACAGUAAGAGCUUGCUCUUACGGGUGGCGAGUGGCGGACGGGUGAGGAAUACAUCGGAAUCUACUUUUUCGUGGGGGAUAACGUAGGGAAACUUACGCUAAUACCGCAUACGACCUACGGGUGAAAGCAGGGGAUCUUCGGACCUUGCGCGAUUGAAUGAGCCGAUGUCGGAUUAGCUAGUUGGCGGGGUAAAGGCCCACCAAGGCGACGAUCCGUAGCUGGUCUGAGAGGAUGAUCAGCCACACUGGAACUGAGACACGGUCCAGACUCCUACGGGAGGCAGCAGUGGGGAAUAUUGGACAAAGGGCGCAAGCCUGAUCCAGCCAGACCGCGUGGGUGAAGAAGGCCUUCGGGUUGUAAAGCCCUUUUGUUGGGAAAGAAAAGCAGCAGGUUAAUACCCCGCUGUUCUGACGGUACCCAAAGAAUAAGCACCGGCUAACUUCGUG
Molecule: ribosomal RNA, 492 nt
Filed under: uncultured bacterium
Lineage: Bacteria
Description: partial 16S ribosomal RNA
Rfam family: Bacterial small subunit ribosomal RNA
Source: RNAcentral